GUUCACUGCCCUAACGGGUAGACCUCCCACCCUUUGUUAUCAUUACCUUUGUUGCUUUGGCGGGCCGUUAGGCUCCGGCCUAGCUACCGGCCACCGCUGGUAAGCGCCCGCCAGAGGACCCUUAAACUCUGAAUGUAAAUGUCGUCUGAGUACUAUAUAAUAGUUAAAACUUUCAACAACGGAUCUCUUGGUUCUGGCAUCGAUGAAGAACGCAGCGAAAUGCGAUAAGUAAUGUGAAUUGCAGAAUUCAGUGAAUCAUCGAAUCUUUGAACGCACAUUGCGCCCCUUGGUAUUCCGAGGGGCAUGCCUGUUCGAGCGUCAUUACAACCCUCAAGCAAUGCUUGGUGUUGGGCCCUGCCGGUCACGGCUGGCUCUAAAAUCAGUGGCGGUGCCAUCUGGCUCUAAGCGUAGUAAUUUUCUCGCUAUAGGGUCCUGUGGACGCUUGCCAUUAACCCCAAAUUUUAUAUGGUUGACCUCGGAUCAGGUAGGGAUACCCGCUGAACUUAA
Molecule: ribosomal RNA, 507 nt
Filed under: uncultured fungus
Lineage: Eukaryota; Fungi
Description: eukaryotic LSU rRNA
Rfam family: 5.8S ribosomal RNA (bases 168-321)
Source: RNAcentral